AUUGAACCUACUUGUCAUAUAUGCAGUUCCACCCAAUCCCUCCUUGUCACUCAUAAUCUCAUCUGCUACACAGUCACAGUCUCCUGGCGUCACACACCAUGGCUCAGGAGUACACACUCACACGUUCUUCCGGCGUCGCACAACACCUCCCGGUGACACCCGCGGACACUAUAGUCUCAAUGCUCUUUGCAUCACACUCUUGUGGUGCUCACACUAGCUCAGCCCUGAGGGCCACACGGGGGCGCGCGAGGCCCGCGAGCCGCCCACCCACCUCGCUCCGAAGAGCCGCAGAAGGACUGAGAAACAGUUAGGGCAAGGCGUCCCCGUUUGCCCUGCGGGAAAUGGAACCGGGAUUAGGGGGCCUGAGAAAGACGUGGGAGGGAGAUGGAGACCUAGGAAGGUGGAGGGAGCCACGGACCAGAGGGAUAGGAUGAAAAGUGGACAGAGAAGUUCAGAGGGAGGUGAGAGAUGCAGGGAGAGACAGAGACACUUAGAGAGGAGAGACUUAUGGACUAAGACCAAGGAAGGAAGACUGCAGAGAGAGACAGGGACAGGAG
This 557-nucleotide long non-coding RNA is filed under the name Marmota monax (woodchuck). Lineage: Eukaryota; Metazoa; Chordata; Mammalia; Rodentia; Sciuridae. The record is from RNAcentral.